Molecule: long non-coding RNA, 1501 nt
Organism: Callithrix jacchus (white-tufted-ear marmoset)
Lineage: Eukaryota; Metazoa; Chordata; Mammalia; Primates; Cebidae
Source: RefSeq, a predicted model, not a curated record
CAAUUCAUUGUUGUCCCAGUGAUCCCAGGCUAAAGGACAGUCCCCAGUUUCCUAUUAUAGAACCUAUGAUGUUACCCGCCUGGCCUCUGCAGGCAUUUCAGUCUGUGACCCUGGAUUCCUGAUUAGUACUUUUUCAAGCUUCCCAGGGCCUUCUGCGGUGCUGUCCUGAACUAACCAGAGAGCAGUCCCCUAAACAGCCUGGUAUGGGUUGAAUCAGGCCCCACCAAAAAACAAGGAAACUGAGAAUUUAAGCAACUUGCUUAAGAUGAACGCAUCACCUAGUUAUGGUGCUGGAUCUUACACCUGGCAUUUGAAAUGGCAAAAACCAAGAUAUCAUGUGGCUGUAUAUAUAAAUGAGCUCAGCCUUUGAAGAAAGACAUGGACCACCAGAAGAAGGUGAUGAGUUUAACACUGGACUUGCUGGAAGAAAGAUCGGGUUUGACACUGGAGGAGCGGUUUCCCAUUGAUUCUGAAGUAGAAGGGACACUACAGAACAAGAUAUAUGGAUGCUGAACAGAAGACUAGAGUCAGGAGACCAGACAUGUCCUUGACUACAGAACCUUGGAUGAGUUAUUUCCCCUGCGCUGGCCUCAGCUUAUUGCAAUAAUGCUCUGUUACUAGGAUUUGGGUCUGAAAAAUCAGUUAAAGCUGAACACCAUUAGUUGAUCUUUGCAUGCUUUUUUUUUUUUGUAUGAAUCUCCUUGUGACAGUCAGAAUUUUAAGAUGAGCUUCAAUGACCCUCUCAACCUUGUAUAAUCUUCUUUUCUUUGAGUGUGGGUGGAACCAGUGAAUAUGUGAUAUCACUUAUAUGAUUAGGUUCUGUUAUAUGGUAGAAGGGUGAAAAUUUGGCAGGGGUUGACCUAAUCAAAUGAGCUUUAAGAAAAAAAAAAAAAAGAAAGUGUUCUAAACCCUAAAUGCUACGUGUAUCUAAACACAUGUAAACAUAGAAAAGGUACAGUAAAAAUAUGAUAUUGUAAUUUUAUGGGAACACUGUCAUAUAUGUGGCCUGUCGUUGUCCAAAACGUCAUUAGGUGGUGCAUGACUGUAUCUAAAGUAAAUGAUUUGAUGAGUUUUGACUUAUGUAUACAUUAAUGAAGUUAUCAUUGCAAUCGAGAUAAUGAACAUAUCCGUCAGCCCAGAAGUCUGUUUUUUCCCUUUAAUAAGUCCCAAAACCUCUCCACCCAUGUUAUCCAGGCAAUCACUGGUUACUUUCUGUUCUAUAAAUUCUUUGUAUUAUGUAUGGGUUUUCUUUGUUUGGUGUGGGGAAGGUCUGUCUUUUUUGACUCUGUGUAAUUAUUUUGAGUUUGAUUCAUAUUGUUGCAUAUGUAAUUCUUUCCUUUUUAUUGUACAGAUAUACUACAAAUGUUUAUCUGGUUACCUAUUAAUAUUGGAUUUUUAUGCUUUUGGCUGUAUAAAUAAAGCUACUCUGAACAUUUGUCUAUAGUUCUUUGUGAGGAUAUGUUUUUCCUUUCUCUUGGAUAAAUAUUUAGGAGGGCAAUGG